GUCCACGCCGUAAACGUUGGGCGCUAGGUGUGGGGAACAUUCCACGUUCUCCGUGCCGCAGCUAACGCAUUAAGCGCCCCGCCUGGGGAGUACGGCCGCAAGGCUAAAACUCAAAGGAAUUGACGGGGGCCCGCACAAGCGGCGGAGCAUGUGGCUUAAUUCGACGCAACGCGAAGAACCUUACCAAGGCUUGACAUACAGGGAAAUCUCCCAGAGAUGGGAGGUCCGCAAGGGCUCUGUACAGGUGGUGCAUGGUUGUCGU
This 262-nucleotide ribosomal RNA is filed under the name uncultured bacterium. Its description in RNAcentral is "partial 16S ribosomal RNA". It matches the Rfam family "Bacterial small subunit ribosomal RNA", at positions 793 to 1055 of the family's 1533-position model. The record is from RNAcentral.